UUCUUUCUUCUUCUCUCCUACCUUGCCCACAAGGUGUGGAUAAGUGUUCUUGAGAGUUGACCCUGCCAACGCACUGUAAGCAAGCUCCAUUACUCCUCAGUUGUGGAUCUUUCUUGAGCGUCUGUUCAAGAUUUCUUCUGGCUCAGGUUUGAUGACUCCUUGACCAUCCACUGGAGGUAGAUGUGUGAUUGGAAGGAUGGAUCUCCCCAAUUUCAGCUUUAAUUGUGAAACAUGAAAUAAUUAAGGGUGGAUGAGAGAACCCGUUGGAAGGGUCAGGUGAUAUGCUACAGUUCCCACCUUUCUUUCCACCUGAAAUGGUCCAUAAAAUCGAGGGGAAAGUUUUAGAUUCCUCCUCCGAGCAACAUAAAGCUGUCUGUAAGGCUGUAGACCAAUUUGAUCCCUUUGCUGGAGUUGUUCCUCAACAGCAGCUAAUCUUUGUUGUCCUUAGUUUACUACCUAAAUGUUAAUGGAUGGCUGGAAAUGUAAUGUAGGGUUGAGAUGGCAUGAGAUUUCUCUUAUUGCAUCAAAUGCUGCAGCCUUACUUCCUGCAUUUAAGGUCCUUCAAAAGAAGGCAUGUGCAGAGUGGGUCAUCUUCAUGUCUAGGGGAAUUUCAAGGCAUAUACAUGCAUAAAUAUAUUUGUGCAUGUGUACACAUAUAGAUAUGUUUGGAGUUUGAUAAGAAUCUUGGGGGAUAUCUAAAAUCUCGCUUAGUGUGAGAUUUCUCAUCAGCUCAAUGAAUGAAGUGAUUAUUUCUUGGGAAGUUCAUCUACAGAAGAUGAAUCCUAUGAAGAAAGUGAAAAUUCAGUGUGUUCAAUCAAAGAGGAUGAACUCGAUGAAGAAAGUGAAAUUUUAGAAUGUUCAAUCGAAGAGGAUGAACUUGAUGAAGAAAGUGAAAAUUCAGAAUGUUUAACCGAAGAGGAUGAAUGCUACAGGAUUGAACGGAUUCAACCAUCUAUGAGCCGUUGUGACGGAGAUGAUGAUGAUGAUCGCAACUUGGGAUCCAGCUAGCUGUGUAUUUACUUAAAUGAAGCUGAAGCUCAUGCUCCUAGUGAAGUGGCAGCCGUGAGGAGUCCUACUGUAGCAGCUGAAGCUCCUCCUGUUAGUUAAGUGGCAGCCGUGAAGAACAAGGCUGCUGCUGCUGCAAUUGAUAAAGAUGUUGUUGUAAUUGAUGAAGAUGAAGCUGAGAAGAAUUCUACUACUACAGAUCGAGACAUGAGGAGAAGCAGUGAAGCUGUAGAACACUUAUCCAAGAUAAAGUGCAAAGAAAGUGAAGUUGGAUUCAAACCAACUUCUCAUUCUAAGAUUGAAGUAGAAAACCUUCAAGUUAUUAAUGUUAGAUAGCAUUCUGUAUUCAAUCUCUAGUUUCCAGCUUGUAAUUAAAGUCAUUGUAAUUACUUAGAACACCUCAUGUACAGUUCAAAUAGGUUUCUUCCUUUGUAAUUGCUUAUGCUUAUAAAUAAAGUUUUCCUUCCAUA
Molecule: non-coding RNA, 1475 nt
Organism: Corylus avellana
Lineage: Eukaryota; Viridiplantae; Streptophyta; Magnoliopsida; Fagales; Betulaceae
Source: RefSeq, a predicted model, not a curated record